Molecule: ribosomal RNA, 456 nt
Filed under: Erwinia sp. B116
Lineage: Bacteria; Pseudomonadati; Pseudomonadota; Gammaproteobacteria; Enterobacterales; Erwiniaceae
Description: bacterial SSU rRNA
Rfam family: Bacterial small subunit ribosomal RNA
Source: RNAcentral
UUUAAUUGAAGAGUUUGAUCAUGGCUCAGAUUGAACGCUGGCGGCAGGCCUAACACAUGCAAGUCGAACGGUAGCACAGAGAGCUUGCUCUUGGGUGACGAGUGGCGGACGGGUGAGUAAUGUCUGGGAAACUGCCCGAUAGAGGGGGAUAACUACUGGAAACGGUAGCUAAUACCGCAUAACCUCGUAAGAGCAAAGUGGGGGACCUUCGGGCCUCACGCUAUCGGAUGUGCCCAGAUGGGAUUAGCUAGUAGGUGGGGUAAUGGCUCACCUAGGCGACGAUCCCUAGCUGGUCUGAGAGGAUGACCAGCCACACUGGAACUGAGACACGGUCCAGACUCCUACGGGAGGCAGCAGUGGGGAAUAUUGCACAAUGGGCGCAAGCCUGAUGCAGCCAUGCCGCGUGUAUGAAGAAGGCCUUCGGGUUGUAAAGUACUUUCAGCGGGGAGGAAGGCG